GUCCAAGUUACAGUUACAAAUGGAUAUUCCUUUUCCCGCUAAUCUCCAAAUGGGAAUCCUUGAUCAACGCACCGAUUUCUACUUCAUUUCAUCAAAUCUCCGCCAAACCCAAAGAUUACAAAUCCGUUCCCUUUGUCCAUUUGAUAUUCGUUCUAAAAUCAAUGGACACUUAGGAUUUGCAGAAAGGUAGUGAGUGACAGUUCCAUUAGAUCUCCAUUUGUUGGACAAGCUUUGCUUUACCUUCUUUCCGUUCUUGCCAUUUUUAAAUCCUUCAAUUGGGAUUUCUUUCUUUAUUCUCAUCGUCCCCUUUACUCUUCUCUUCAAUCUAUUCCAAUUCUGUUCGCAAAUUUUGGCUGUUUCUGAAAGAAUCCACAUAGGGUUUUGUUUUUUAGUGCGUUUUACCGGCUUCGAUUUGGUUUUCCGUGGGCGAUUGUUACAGAUGCUCUGCAAAUGGGGAAAGGGGAAGAUCAAAAUCUGCCGCAGCAGCACCGCCGUGAGGAUUCUUCUGGGUUUAUUUGUCGUGAAUGUUCGAUUUCGUUUUGUAGGGCUUCUACGGAGUUGAAUUUCAAGUGUUUGUUCGUUUUGAUUUUGGGAUUUGCGGUGUUUCUCCCUGGAUUCUUUUGGCUUCUUCCGCUUCAUGAAAGAAAUUUAGGGUUUGAGGCGAAAGACGCCAUUAAACUCAGUGCUACAGUUCAGGUGUAUUUCGUUCUCGAAAAGCCGGUCGAGGAGCUUCUCCCUCACAUCAAGAGAUUAGAGUUUGAUAUCAAUGGUGAAUUAGACAUACCAAACGUGAAGGUUUCCGUUCUGUCGAUGCACGAUUUAGGUGAGUCGAACAGGACUUACGUGGUUUUUGGUCUUCUUUCUGAAUACAUUACUACUCCAAUAAAUCCAGUGUCCUUAAGUCUGCUGAGAUCGUCUUUAUAUGACCUUUUCCUUCACAAAUCCAACCUUACUUUGACGACUUCGAUUUUUGGACAGCCAUCGGCAUUUCAAAUCCUCAAGUUUCCAGGGGGAAUCUCUAUAAUCCCGUUUCAACGUGCUUCGAUUUGGCAGUUUCCCCAGAUCGUAUUUAACUUCACUCUGACUAACUCCAUUUCUGAAAUACUCAACAAAUUUGCAAAGUUCAUGAGCCAGCUUAAGUUGGAAUUGUGUCUGAGGCCUUAUGAGAAUGUGUAUUUGCAAAUAACGAACAAGAUUGGCUCGACGAUGCAGCCCAUCGUAGUUGUUCAGGCUUCUAUUUCGUCGGAAUUGGGACGCAUAACGACGCAGAGAUUACAGCAGUUGGCUGCAAUCAUCAAUACCUCUUCCGAAAGAAAUCUCGGCCUUGAUUAUUCUGUUUUUGGAGAAGUCAAGGGCAUCAGUUUGUCUUCUUAUCCAAAGGGAACCUCCAUGGCUAUGCCACCGAGUUUUUCUCCAGCUCCUGCCCCAGCACCUGGUGAUCAUGUAGAACUACCGAGUGCCCCACACCCAUCGAGAUCUGCACGAUCACCUGCAAAUUGUUCCCCCCCUCGAGCAAAUUGUGAAACCUCGUCUCCAGCCCUUUCUAUGGUUCCUGCACCUUCCCUUCAUGAACAUUCAAUGCCUCCAAUCGUCUAUCCGAAGUCUACAAGACUGAUCGUCGUUCCUCCAGCUGAUCAACCCCGGGUAUCAUCUCCACGUGCAUCUCCGGUGCUGUUUCACUACAAACCAGGGAAAACAAAGGAAGAUUCGCAUAGAGUUUGGCAGCCCACACAUUCCUCACAUCGAGAUCAUGAUUGAAAAUCAAUCAGCACACAGUCGUCUGAAGGAUACGAAGAACACAAGAGGAUCGAGGUCCGAUCGGAAUCUCAUUUUUGGUUGUACCGAGUAAUAACAAACAGAGAAUCAUGGUUGAAGAGAAAGGAAAUGGAUGUGAGAUAUAGUGGAGAGUUAGAGCAUUUGAUAGAGCAAGGUAUCAUUGGAUCUUUAUGCUCUCUAUCUAAGCAAGGAAGCUUUUUUCACUCUCUUUCUUUCCUCCUACUCUUCUUCUUCUUCUUCCUUCCAUUACUGAUCUUAUAAAAGCUUCACAUCUCUUCCCAUGGCUUUCACUGCCAGCUUCACCCA
This is an RNA transcript of Cucurbita moschata (crookneck pumpkin), 2082 nucleotides long. It is a transcript of the gene named pathogenesis-related protein 5-like, with no coding region annotated. The record is from RefSeq and is a predicted model, not a curated record. The transcript has 6 exons. NCBI's taxonomy places the organism in Eukaryota, Viridiplantae, Streptophyta, Magnoliopsida, Cucurbitales, Cucurbitaceae.